This is a long non-coding RNA of Apis mellifera (honey bee), 1090 nucleotides long. RefSeq lists it as uncharacterized. The record is from RefSeq and is a predicted model, not a curated record. The transcript has 2 exons. NCBI's taxonomy places the organism in Eukaryota, Metazoa, Arthropoda, Insecta, Hymenoptera, Apidae.
AUUUUAUUUUUCAUAUAUACAUGUGAAUUAUUUUUGAUAUAUUUCAAAUUAAUAUUCCCGCUCUUAUUAUGAUUUUAAGUUUAUGAUGCUAGAUGGAGACACUAGUCCCUUUUCAAUAAGUACUGUAAUCUAACCUUACAAAUUAUCGCGUUGCGGGGAAUACGAGACGAAAGAAACGUGCACUUUUAUGGCAUCAAAAUUUAAGAAGACGAAUGGCAUUUGUUUCAUGAAAUAUUUGCAAAAUUCAGAAAUUAACUUAUUCGUGACAUAAGUAUAACGUAUAAUACAGGAAGUAAAAUUGAAACUCUCGAAGGUGGCCGCGAAUUUUCCUCGGUCGAUAACUCUAGGUGUAUAGACCACAGAGCGAUAAUAGACGCCGUGCUUAAUUGCAUUUUAUACUAUCGUAAAAUGCUACGAUACCAGUAUUGAAGACAAAAAUGAAAGCAGAGUAAAUGCGGUAAGCCGCAGGUUUCUGUAACGUAAUACCAUCGUAUACCGGGACAGAAGUUGAGAAAAAAAGAUGACCGCUGCUCCACACCACACCAUGCCGUUUAAAAAAACCGAUUGAGAAAACUUUCUUGAAAAAUAGUAAAUUUCCCUGGGAUAUUGAAAUAUUCUAUAUAAAAAAAACGUUAUAAAUGACGUUAUAAAUCGUGACUUAUCGUCAUGUUAUAUUUUCUGGUUAUUUUUUUGUGCCACUGGAAUUUCACAUUCGUUGAGUAUUAAGAUGAAGAAUGCAUUGUAUUUUAAGAAUAAAGAGAAACAAUAUUGAAAGAAUAGUUAUAAAAUAGUGUUUGAAUUUAAUAUUUUCAUAUUUUUUUUUAUACGAAAAAAAAGUUAUUUAUUUGUUAUUGAAUUUUAACGAAAAGCUCGCUUGCUGUUUCGAUAAAAGAAAGAUAUCAACGAACGAAAUAAAAAAACGUACAUCUUCGAUGGUGGUUUCUAUAUACCGCAAAUCCGCCGCUACAUGCAUACAUUUUCAUAAAAAUGCGGAGAUCCGCUUUCUUUCCUGUUAGCCGCGGGCGGAACGCGAUACGGCAUUGUGUGUUACACUCUCAUGUUAAUUCUGGCAAUAAAGAUGAGUGUUAAA